RNAcentral lists this ribosomal RNA (468 nucleotides) under uncultured bacterium. RNAcentral's name for it is "partial 16S ribosomal RNA". It matches the Rfam family "Bacterial small subunit ribosomal RNA", at positions 28 to 507 of the family's 1533-position model. The record is from RNAcentral.
GACGAACGCUGGCGGCGUGCUUAACACAUGCAAGUCGAACGGAAAGGCCCUGCUUUUGUGGGGUGCUCGAGUGGCGAACGGGUGAGUAACACGUGAGUAACCUGCCCUUGACUUUGGGAUAACUUCAGGAAACUGGGGCUAAUACCGGAUAGGAGCUCCUGCUGCAUGGUGGGGGUUGGAAAGUUUCGGCGGUUGGGGAUGGACUCGCGGCUUAUCAGCUUGUUGGUGGGGUAGUGGCUUACCAAGGCUUUGACGGGUAGCCGGCCUGAGAGGGUGACCGGCCACAUUGGGACUGAGAUACGGCCCAGACUCCUACGGGAGGCAGCAGUGGGGAAUAUUGCACAAUGGGCGGAAGCCUGAUGCAGCAACGCCGCAUGCGGGAUGACGGCCUUCGGGUUGUAAACCGCUUUCGCCUGUGACGAAGCGUGAGUGGCGGUAAUGGGUAAAGAAGCACCGGCUAACUACGUG